Molecule: ribosomal RNA, 443 nt
Filed under: uncultured bacterium
Lineage: Bacteria
Description: partial 16S ribosomal RNA
Rfam family: Bacterial small subunit ribosomal RNA
Source: RNAcentral
CCUACGGGAGGCAGCAGUGGGGAAUAUUGGGCAAUGGGCGCAAGCCUGACCCAGCAACGCCGCGUGAAGGAAGAAGGCUUUCGGGUUGUAAACUUCUUUUGUCAGGGACGAAGCAAGUGACGGUACCUGACGAAUAAGCCACGGCUAUCUACGUGCCAGCAGCCGCGGUAAUACGUAGGUGGCAAGCGUUAUCCGGAUUUACUGGGUGUAAGGGGCGUGUAGGCGGGACUGCAAGUCAGAUGUGAAAACCACGGGCUCAACCUGGGGCCUGCAUUUGAAACUGUAGUUCUUGAGUACUGGAGAGGCAGGCGGAAUUCGUGGUGUAGCGGUGAAAUGCUUAGAUAUCACGAAGAACCCCGAUUGCGAAGGCAGCCUGCCGCAGCGUUACUGACGCUGAAGCUCGAAAGCGCGGGUAUCGAACAGGAUUAGAUACCCCUGUAGUC